GGACGACGCUGGCGGCGUGCUUAACACAUGCAAGUCGAACGGUGAAGGGGCCUGCUUUUGUGGGUCCUGGAUGAGUGGCGAACGGGUGAGUAACACGUGAGUAACCUGCCCCCUUCUUCUGGAUAACCGCAUGAAAGUGUGGCUAAUACGGGAUAUUCUGGGUCUGUCGCAUGGUGGGCCUGGGAAAGAUUGCGCUUUUUUGGUGUUUUUGGUGGGGGAUGGGCUCGCGGCCUAUCAGCUUGUUGGUGGGGUGAUGGCCUACCAAGGCGGUGACGGGUAGCCGGCCUGAGAGGGUGGACGGUCACACUGGGACUGAGACACGGCCCAGACUCCUACGGGAGGCAGCAGUGGGGAAUAUUGCACAAUGGGCGCAAGCCUGAUGCAGCGACGCCGCGUGAGGGAUGGAGGCCUUCGGGUUGUGAACCUCUUUCGCCAGUGAAGCAGGCCUGCCUCGUUUGUGGGUGGGUUGACGGUAGCUGGAUAAGAAGCGCCGGCUAACUAC
Molecule: ribosomal RNA, 502 nt
Filed under: uncultured bacterium
Lineage: Bacteria
Description: bacterial SSU rRNA
Rfam family: Bacterial small subunit ribosomal RNA
Source: RNAcentral